GUUUACGGCCAUACCACCUUGAAUACGCCCGAUCUCGUCCGAUCUCGGAAGCUAAGCAGGGUCGGGCUCGGUUAGUACUUGGAUGGGAGACCGCCUGGGAAUACCGAGUGCUGUAAGCU
Ribosomal RNA from Erpetoichthys calabaricus (reedfish), 119 nucleotides. Lineage: Eukaryota; Metazoa; Chordata; Cladistia; Polypteriformes; Polypteridae. The record is from Ensembl.